This is an RNA transcript of Elaeis guineensis (African oil palm), 2321 nucleotides long. It is a transcript of the gene named calmodulin-binding receptor-like cytoplasmic kinase 3, with no coding region annotated. The record is from RefSeq and is a predicted model, not a curated record. Lineage: Eukaryota; Viridiplantae; Streptophyta; Magnoliopsida; Arecales; Arecaceae.
AAUAGCGCCGCGUGGGGCUGCGAGGAGACCGCAACGCGGCUUGGUCAAGGUCUUUAGUUUCCGCGACGGUCAAAUUUCGGCCCGAAGGGAAAACCGCCGCCACUGUUCGGGACCUCCGUCGUUGACUCCAGUCCAGUUUAUUCUCUUACCAAAUCCUUCGAUCCAUCCUCUUACAAGGAGAAAACGAUCCCGUCCACAUCACCACCACCCACCAAACCCCUCGGUUUCCUCUGGACUCGGCCUUUGAAGUCUCUUCGCUUCCUUUCUCCAACUUCAUCAACUUGUCUCGCAGAAAGAUUGGAUUUUGGGGAUUCCGGAGCGAUUGAUCUGGCUUCCAUAUGAAGUUUUUCGGUGUUUCCGGGGGGUAGUAUGUCAAUAAUGGCUCUGCAUCUUCUAGUUUUGGUGAUUUUGGCCCAGUUUCAAUGGAAUUUGGUUGCUGGGUCGUCGGUGACCUAUUUGAAGGAUUGCGGGACUGAUCGUGUCGGCUAUUUGAAGUCGACUCAUCUGUAUGAAUUCUUUAUCGGUCUGAAGAAGGCGGAAGAUGUCGGUUUGAUCUGUAAGGAGUUAGAGUUGUGUUUCAGAAAUGGGUGUCCGAUCUGUGGCUCGAAUGAAGAGGUGUGGGCGAGAAUUGGCAGGGAGUACUGCAAUCGGGAUUUAUCGGUCUCUGCCCGUCUGGAGACCGAUAUAGUUUCUGUGAACCUACUUAGAAGGAAAGGGAGAAAAUUAUUGCUUCAACCGUUACCAAAAGGUACCAUCCCUGAUAAGGUAGGCAAAAUGAGUCAGACACAGGAGAAACAGCAGCAUAAUGAUUUUGAUUUGGCACCGGAUCAUCUUAUGCUCGCUGUACCAGGAAUAUUCCUUCUAUGUUGCGCUGUACUUUGUCCUUGCUUUCACACAAAAAGAAAAGAUGUGAGUGAGCAUCCUGUUCUACCCAGAGGUGUGCAUUCGAUGGAUUCGGUUUCCUCUUUUGAAGUAAGCUCAACCCCUGAAAGAACACCAGGAAAUUCACUAAGAACACCUCCUAGUCCAUCUCGAUUUUCACUAUCUCCUCAAUCAAGUACCAUUGGACCAUUACAUCUCAGCAUCGAUCAGAUUAGCAAACUUACUCAGAACUUUUCAUCUUCACUAAAAAUAGGUGAAGGUGGUUUUGCAAUUGUCUACAAGGCCGAGCUGCCAGAUGGUCAGGUUGUUGCUAUUAAGCGAGCAAAGAAGGAACAUUUCGCUGCCCUACGAGCUGAAUUUAGUAGUGAAGUUGCACUUCUCACCAAAAUUGAACAUAGGAAUUUGGUCAAGUUACUUGGCUACACUGAUAAAGGAAAUGAACGUAUAAUCAUUACUGAAUAUGUUUCAAAUGGUACUCUCAGGGAACAUCUCGAUGGUAAGGGUGGGAAGAUUUUGGACUUCAGUCAACGGCUAGAAAUAGCCAUUGAUGUUGCUCAUGGAUUGACAUACCUCCAUCUAUAUGCAGAGAAACCUAUAAUUCACCGAGAUGUCAAGUCAUCAAACAUUCUGCUGACAGAAAGCUACAGAGCAAAGGUGGCUGACUUCGGAUUUGCAAGAACUGGUCCAAUGGAAGCAGAUCAGACUCAUAUUGAGACCAAAGUGAAGGGCACAGCUGGAUAUGUGGACCCAGAAUACCUUAAGACAUUUCGCCUCACACCCAAGAGUGAUGUUUACUCCUUUGGCAUCCUGCUUUUAGAAAUCCUAUCCGCACGUCGUCCAGUAGAAGUGAAGAGAAAGGCCGAUGAAAGGAUAACUGUUAGAUGGGCCUUCAAGAAAUAUAACGAAGGCAAUGUGAGAAGCAUAUUGGAUCCUCUGUUAAAGGAAGUGGUAUAUGAGGAGGUACUAAAGAGGAUUUUUGGUUUAGCCUUUCAGUGUGCUGCUCCUACCCGCAAUGAUCGACCUGCAAUGAAGGAAGUCGUAGAACAGCUGUGGGAAAUAAGGAAAGACUAUGCUAGGAGUCAUAGGAGAGCAUGAAAAGCAGCUCCACUCAUCUACAAGUUUGAUGUCAAAAAUAUUGAUCUGCAUGAUAGGGGAUCAGCUUUUUGUAUCAGCUUGGUGUCUUUUCUAGUACACGAUGUCUCUGGCAUGCAGAUGCCUUAUCAAGUUGUUCUUACAUUUUUGUAGAGAGCAUAACCUUAUUUGGAGAACGGACAGGUUGAGAGAUGCAACGACAAUCAUUGCAUAUGUUGAUCAUCGUAUCCAGAUUGAUGUAUACAUUAUGAUACUGUAUGGUAUGUAAACAUGAACUGUGAAAUUUUGGUUAUUUGAAACUCGUGUAAUUUGAUGCCAUCAUGGAUCUCGGAGCAGCAAACCAUAAA